This 820-nucleotide long non-coding RNA is filed under the name Pan troglodytes (chimpanzee). Its description in RNAcentral is "lncRNA (ENSPTRG00000054047.1)". Lineage: Eukaryota; Metazoa; Chordata; Mammalia; Primates; Hominidae. The record is from RNAcentral.
CAAUACUCCACAAUGGAGCAGGCAGCACCAGCCGGAACUCACCCCUGCUGCCAUUCCUCCUCCAACCAGCAAGCCUCUAGCGACAUCUCUGAACAUGGUCUCUCCCUGCUCACACUCAGCUAUGCAGAGCGGGAAAAGCGUUUCCUGUCCAAAACAAGCACUGGGGAUUCUGAGGAACCUCUGAGGAGCACCCUGCCUUUACUUGCAGUUCUUCCAGAGAGAUGUUGGAGCUGACAACUGGAGACAAUAUGGCUUGGUGACAACAUCAUAAAAGGAAUCUAAAGAAGUUGGAAUGGAAAGCAAAAGAACAUUGCCAUAUUUUUACCAGGUGGCCCCACCACACGCUACACAGACCAAGAGAGUGAACAUGUCCUUGUUCUUAAAGAGCUCACAAAUGAAUAUCUUUUUUUUUCCCUGAGACUGAGUCUUGCUCUGUCACCCAGGCUAGAGUGCAGUGGCGCGAUCUUGGCUCACUGCAAUCUCCACCUCCCGGGUUCAAGCAGUUCUCCUGCCUUGGCCUCCUAAGUAGCUGGGAUGACAGGCGCGAGCCACCAUGCCUGGCUAUUUUUUUUUUUUUGUAUUUUUAGUAGAGACGGGAUUUCACCAUCUUGGCCUGGCUGGUCUUGAACUCCUGACCUCGUGAUCUCCCCACCGCAACCUCCCAAGGUGCUGGGAUUAUAGGCGUGAGCCGCCGUGCCUGGCCUGAAUAUUCUUAAAAAAGGAGUGAAACAGAAAUAGUGUGUUCCUGUAUUUCAGAAUGACAAAGGAAACCAGGAACACUUGCAGGUUAAUAAGUCCAUCCCCCUGUCUCAGAGCAGAG